Molecule: unclassified non-coding RNA, 1533 nt
Filed under: Hevea brasiliensis (rubber tree)
Lineage: Eukaryota; Viridiplantae; Streptophyta; Magnoliopsida; Malpighiales; Euphorbiaceae
Source: RNAcentral
UUUCAAUUUAAUACAAAAUCUCAACAGUUUCUCGACAAUCCAUUAUUUUGCAAUCCAUUGUUCCUAACUCUAUCAAUUGUUCCGACCCGCUAGAUCCAAAAAUCAAACUAGAAAAUCACAUAGCAAAGAUAGAGAGGAAUGAGGCAAAGGAAAGGUUAACCGUGGGGGACAAGAUUUUACAGCAAUUAGAUAGGAUUGAAGGGCUAGUGAGGCAGCUCAUAGCCAUGGAAGGCAGCAGUACCCAAGUCAUUCCAACAGCCAUGACUCAUCCAUCGCUAAUUCACAACUCAAAGCAUAUAAGAUCGAGCAUCCUAGUUUAAACAAUGAAGAGCUAACUGAAAUGGUACUAAAGGAGCCCAAGUUGGCAGUUAGCAAUGUUGAGUUGUUGCAACAAUUUGAUGAAGCUAACAGCUACAAAUCCGAGGAGAACCAUUUUGAUGGUGAUAAAAGAGAAUCACUGAUAGAGACUGUUGAAGGAUUCAAUGUUAAAUCAAAGCAGCAGUUAAGAGUUCUCGGAGGAACACGACUUGUGUCAUCCAUGCUAGAACCGCGCGACUACCUAACGGAACAGUCUCCAUUACUCGACAUCACAAAGACAAAUUGCUCGAUAAGAUUCACCAAAGAGAAAGAUCGAGAUCUUUUGGAGGUAGAGUAGGCGAAAACCUUACAUCCUCUGUUUGGGAAGUCUGUGGGGACCACGAAAGGUGGUGGUGAUUUUCAAAUAGACUCGCUGACCAAGUUUGAGGAUCUAUCUCCACAGCAACGCAGGUGUUUGAGAUCAUCGAUGUUCACUAUAAGGGCUAUUUGAUUGCUGGAUUACACAAUGAUAUAGGGGGACCAUAACAAUUACAUGAUAUCACAAAUGGUCAUAACAUGAUGAACCUUGCCGGAAAAAUUGACCAAGACCUUCACAGUACAACGGAGGAGCAAGUUUUGCUGCAUGUAGUGUUUGGGACAUCUGUGAGGAAGGAGAAUGAAGAUUCUGGGUAUAGACCAAAGGAAAAAUUGCAAGAUGCUGGUCCAAUUUUAACAAUGGGCUCAAGUUUUGGAACCAAGCUACAUUACUCUAGUGUCGAGCCAAUGUACACCAGCCCACUUCUAUUUGAUUUUGACAAGCCACCACCUGAACCUCCAGAUUUAAGUUCAACAGAGUUGAUAAAUGUUGAAACAAAGCAAUUAUCUCCUUCAACGAUGCAGGGAUUCCUCUCCAUGGAAGUAUCGAUAUCCAACAAUUUGCAAUGCAUUUCACAAGGAGGAAUUUCUCAACUCAAAAUAGUGAAAGGGAGAGGAUCGACUACAAUCCAAUUUACCAAGCCUCCUCCAUUGGUAGCACAUCUAAUUACAAAUUCUGGAAUUGAUAAUUGGGGAUUUCUUAUUAUUGUUCUAGCCAAUGAAGGAAAUAUGCUGCCAUUUAUUCAACCAUUUGUCUCAACUCUUGUGCAACAAGCUCAAUUUGCAGGUAAUCAUAUAUUAAACGAAGAAGUUCAGAUUCCUUCACUUAUAAGUUCGGGAAUUGGAAGUAUAAAAGGAAAU